CUCCAGGUAGCCAAAUUAGCAAGGCGCUGGUCUGCAAAACCGGAAAUUGCGGGUGCAACUCCCGCCCUGGAGUCCA
This 76-nucleotide transfer RNA is filed under the name Nodosilinea sp. LEGE 07088. RNAcentral describes it as "tRNA-Cys". It matches the Rfam family "tRNA". Rfam says of the family: Transfer RNA (tRNA) molecules are approximately 80 nucleotides in length. Lineage: Bacteria; Bacillati; Cyanobacteriota; Cyanophyceae; Nodosilineales; Nodosilineaceae. The record is from RNAcentral.